AAUUAAAGGACACAAAACAUAGACGAUCAAACACCUCCCUCUCUCUAAAAUUCUUCUCUGCUUAAAUUUUACCCAGCUCUAGAUCUCAAAUCAAGAUGAGAAUCUCAAUUAUCAGGUUUGUGGUCAAAUCCCUAAUUUCCCCCUUUGUCUAUUAGGAAAAAACGGAAAUGCAUAAUUGAGUUUUGUAAAGGCUUCAUAAACAAAAUUGAGUUUUGCGGAGGAAGAAUCGCACAUCUGAUUUCUCUUCCUAAUUUCAUAUAGUUGCUGGUGUCCUAAUGCUUUCCCUAAUCUCGGCUACUUUUCUGAGUUUUGUGCAUAUGUUUGACUGAACACCAAUAUUAAUUUAUAUAUAAAUUUAUGUUUGGGGUUUUUAAUAAUGAUCUUGUAUUUUGUAAGGUAAAAGUUUCAACAUGCAGUUAAGGAUUAUUAUUAUUAUUAUUUUAGUGAUUUUACAUUU
Molecule: long non-coding RNA, 457 nt
Filed under: Nicotiana benthamiana
Lineage: Eukaryota; Viridiplantae; Streptophyta; Magnoliopsida; Solanales; Solanaceae
Description: long non-coding RNA (NBEN_LNC040493)
Source: RNAcentral